RNAcentral lists this ribosomal RNA (504 nucleotides) under uncultured bacterium. RNAcentral describes it as "partial 16S ribosomal RNA". It matches the Rfam family "Bacterial small subunit ribosomal RNA", at positions 29 to 523 of the family's 1533-position model. The record is from RNAcentral.
AUUGAACGCUGGCGGCAGGCCUAACACAUGCAAGUCGAACGGUAGCACAGAGAGCUUGCUCUCGGGUGACGAGUGGCGAACGGGUGAGUAACGUCUGGGAAACUGCCCGAUGGAGGGGGAUAACUACUGGAAACGGUAGCUAAUACCGCAUAACGUCGCAAGACCAAAGUGGGGGACCUUCGGGCCUCACACCAUCGGAUGUGCCCAGAUGGGAUUAGCUAGUAGGUGGGGUAAUGGCUCACCUAGGCGACGAUCCCUAGCUGGUCUGAGAGGAUGACCAGCCAACCUGGAACGGAGGCACGGUCCAGACUCCUACGGGGGGCAGCAGUGGGGAAUAUUGCACAAUGGGCGCAAGCCUGAUGCAGCCAUGCCGCGUGUAUGAAGAAGGCCUUCGGGUUGUAAAGUACUUUCAGCGGGGAGGAAGGCGGUGAAGUUAAUAACUUCACCGAUUGACGUUACCCGCAGAAGAAGCACCGGCUAACUCCGUGCCAGCAGCCGCGGUAA